Molecule: ribosomal RNA, 880 nt
Filed under: marine metagenome
Description: bacterial SSU rRNA
Rfam family: Bacterial small subunit ribosomal RNA
Source: RNAcentral
UUAGUGGCAGACGGGUGAGUAACAUGUAGGUAUCUACCCUUUGGUGAGGAAUAACACGAGGAAACUUGUGCUAAUACCUCAUAAGUCUUUACGGAGAAAGCUUUAUGCGCCGAAGGAUGAGCCUGCACUUGAUUAGUUUGUUGGUGGGGUAAUGGCCUACCAAGACUUUGAUCUAUAGCUGAUCUGAGAGGAUGAUCAGCCACAUUGGGACUGAGACACGGCCCAAACUCCUACGGGAGGCAGCAGUAGGGAAUAUUGCACAAUGGAGGAAACUCUGAUGCAGCGAUGCCGCGUGAGUGAAGAAGGCCUUUGGGUUGUAAAGCUCUUUCGUCGGGGAAGAAAAUGACUGUACCCGAAUAAGAAGGUCCGGCUAACUUCGUGCCAGCAGCCGCGGUAAUACGAAGGGACCUAGCGUAGUUCGGAAUUACUGGGCUUAAAGAGUUCGUAGGUGGUUAAAAAAGUUGGUGGUGAAAUCCCAGAGCUUAACUCUGGAACUGCCAUCAAAACUUUUUAGCUAGAGUAUGAUAGAGGAAAGCAGAAUUUCUAGUGUAGAGGUGAAAUUCGUAGAUAUUAGAAAGAAUACCAAUUGCGAAGGCAGCUUUCUGGAUCAUUACUGACGCUGAGGAACGAAAGCAUGGGUAGCGAAGAGGAUUAGAUACCCUCGUAGUCCAUGCCGUAAACGAUGUGUGUUAGACGUUGGAAAUUUAUUUUCAGUGUCGCAGCGAAAGCGUUAAACACACCGCCUGGGGAGUACGACCGCAAGGUUAAAACUCAAAUGAAUUGACGGGGACCCGCACAAGUAGUGGAGCAUGUGGUUUAAUUCGAAGAUACGCGCAGAACCUUACCAACACUUGACAUGUUCGUCGCGACUCUAAGAGAU